RNAcentral lists this unclassified non-coding RNA (124 nucleotides) under Flavobacterium aquidurense. RNAcentral describes it as "Flavo-1 RNA". The record is from RNAcentral. Lineage: Bacteria; Pseudomonadati; Bacteroidota; Flavobacteriia; Flavobacteriales; Flavobacteriaceae.
UUUUAGCCCCGAUAGGACUGGAAAUCCUUUUGUCCCGGGCUUCGGGACAAAAGAUUACUUCACUAAAUUUUAAUUUUAUUUGGAGUUCAGUGAACUUCGUUUGCAAGGGAUAGCGGGACUGGUC